CACCAGCUGACCCCUUGAUAUCUGGCAUUUGGAGAAAGAGCACAUCACAGUCGUCUGUGUGACACCCCCUCGCUGCACGCCAGCACCCAAACCAAGCCACCUCCACCACCGGUCAGAUCAUAUCGCUGAAGAUGUGUACAGUACGCUCCUGCCUGCAUCCUACCAC
This is a long non-coding RNA of Engraulis encrasicolus (European anchovy), 166 nucleotides long. RefSeq lists it as uncharacterized. Lineage: Eukaryota; Metazoa; Chordata; Actinopteri; Clupeiformes; Engraulidae. The record is from RefSeq and is a predicted model, not a curated record. The transcript has 3 exons.